UUGGGAUUAGGCGGAGAGAGAUUCUUU
RNAcentral lists this non-coding RNA (27 nucleotides) under Rattus norvegicus (Norway rat). Lineage: Eukaryota; Metazoa; Chordata; Mammalia; Rodentia; Muridae. The record is from RNAcentral.